UGAACGCUAGCGGGAGGCUUAACACAUGCAAGUCGAGGGGCAGCAUUCACUUCGGUGAGAUGGCGACCGGCGCACGGGUGCGUAACGCGUAUGCAACCUGCCUUAUACAGGGGGAUAGCCCAUGGAAACGUGGAUUAAUACCUCAUAGUACUAUAAAACUUCAUAGUUUAAUAGUUAAAACUUCGGUGGUAUAAGAUGGGCAUGCGUCUGAUUAGCUGGUUGGUGGGGUAACGGCCCACCAAGGCGACGAUCAGUAGGGGUUCUGAGAGGAUUAUCCCCCACACUGGUACUGAGACACGGACCAGACUCCUACGGGAGGCAGCAGUGAGGAAUAUUGGUCAAUGGGCGAGAGCCUGAACCAGCCAUCCCGCGUGCAGGAUGACGGCCCUAUGGGUUGUAAACUGCUUUUGUAUGCCAAGAAACCUGUCUACGUGUAGGCAGUUGACGGUAGCAUACGAAUAAGGACCGGCUAACUCC
RNAcentral lists this ribosomal RNA (477 nucleotides) under uncultured bacterium. Its description in RNAcentral is "bacterial SSU rRNA". It matches the Rfam family "Bacterial small subunit ribosomal RNA", at positions 30 to 504 of the family's 1533-position model. The record is from RNAcentral.